RNAcentral lists this ribosomal RNA (497 nucleotides) under uncultured bacterium. RNAcentral describes it as "partial 16S ribosomal RNA". It matches the Rfam family "Bacterial small subunit ribosomal RNA", at positions 28 to 507 of the family's 1533-position model. The record is from RNAcentral.
GAUGAACGCUGGCGGCGUGCCUAAUACAUGCAAGUCGAGCGAACAGACGAGGAGCUUGCUCCUCUGACGUUAGCGGCGGACGGGUGAGUAACACGUGGAUAACCUACCUAUAAGACUGGGAUAACUUCGGGAAACCGGAGCUAAUACCGGAUAAUAUAUUGAACCGCAUGGUUCAAUAGUGAAAGACGGUUUUGCUGUCACUUAUAGAUGGAUCCGCGCCGCAUUAGCUAGUUGGUAAGGUAACGGCUUACCAAGGCAACGAUGCGUAGCCGACCUGAGAGGGUGAUCGGCCACACUGGAACUGAGACACGGUCCAGACUCCUACGGGAGGAAGCAGUAGGGAAUCUUCCGCAAUGGGCGAAAGCUUGACGGAGCAACGCCGCGUGAGUGAUGAAGGUCUUCGGAUCGUAAAACUCUGUUAUUAGGGAAGAACAAAUGUGUAAGUAACUAUGCACGUCUUGACGGUACCUAAUCAGAAAGCCACGGCUAACUACGUG